This 236-nucleotide long non-coding RNA is filed under the name Setaria italica (foxtail millet). RNAcentral's name for it is "long non-coding RNA (SITA_LNC002366)". Lineage: Eukaryota; Viridiplantae; Streptophyta; Magnoliopsida; Poales; Poaceae. The record is from RNAcentral.
AGGACGAUCGGCUAGGACCUUCCUUCUACCCUCUCGCAUCCUGCUUCAUCCCCAAGUCUUCUUAGAUGAUCUGGAGUCUUAUUUUCAUUUGCAUGUGGGCCUAACAUGUUGAUAGCUUCAGGAUUAGAUUGAUCUUUGGGCAAUACUCUAAGGGUAAAGCUACAACUGAUCCGUGCGCUUGCGAUUCACCAACUUGGCGCUCUAACUGCUGCCGACAGAUGGUGAGGUGAUGAUUG